CUGCCUGAGCCAGAGAAGCUGAGUGAACAGGUAGCCGUUGCCCUUGCCAUCAAAGAGGACUUGGUACAACACCUCUGGGUGCUGGGAGGAAGUUGUGAGGCCAGUGCACUUUUGACUCAAUGGGGCUGAAUGGGUUACAAAAUAUCCUCCUAUGCUUGAGACCUACAGACUACGUGUCCUACAAGAACUAAUGAAUGGUUUUUCAUCUUCUGGAGAUACAUUAGAAACAUAAAUAUGGUGCCAAAACAACCCGUUACUCUUCUCUGACUACGGUUUAUUUGGACAUACUUUUGUAUUGAAGAGAGGUAUACAGACUGAGGCUACUUGUUGUGCAGAGGCUGUCGUGUAGGAUCAUGGACCAUCCUAAUAGGGAGAAGGAUGAAAGACAACGAACAACUAAACCCAUGGCACAAAGGAGUGCACACUGUUCCCGACCGUCUGGCUCCUCAACAUCCUCUGGGGUUCUUAUGGUGGGACCCAACUUCAGAGUUGGCAAGAAGAUAGGGUGUGGGAACUUCGGAGAGCUCAGAUUAGGUAAAAAUCUCUACACCAAUGAAUAUGUAGCUAUCAAACUGGAACCAAUAAAAUCACGUGCUCCACAGCUUCAUUUAGAGUACAGGUUUUAUAAACAGCUCGGCAGUGCAGGUGAAGGUCUCCCGCAGGUGUAUUACUUUGGACCAUGUGGGAAAUACAAUGCCAUGGUGCUGGAGCUCCUCGGCCCUAGCUUGGAGGACUUGUUUGACCUCUGUGACCGAACUUUUACUUUAAAGACCGUGUUAAUGAUAGCCAUCCAGUUGCUUUCUCGAAUGGAAUAUGUGCAUUCAAAGAAUCUCAUUUACCGAGAUGUCAAGCCAGAGAACUUCCUGAUUGGCCGACAAGGCAAUAAGAAAGAGCAUGUCAUACACAUUAUAGACUUUGGACUGGCCAAGGAAUACAUUGACCCUGAAACCAAAAAACAUAUACCAUAUAGGGAGCAUAAAAGUUUAACUGGAACUGCAAGAUAUAUGUCUAUUAACACACAUCUUGGCAAAGAGCAAAGCCGGCGGGAUGAUUUGGAAGCCCUAGGCCAUAUGUUCAUGUAUUUCCUUCGAGGCAGCCUACCCUGGCAAGGACUCAAGGCUGAUACGUUAAAAGAGAGAUAUCAAAAAAUUGGUGACACCAAAAGGAAUACUCCUAUUGAAGCUCUCUGUGAAAACUUUCCAGAGGAGAUGGCAACCUACCUGCGGUAUGUCAGGCGAUUAGACUUCUUUGAAAAACCUGACUAUGAGUAUUUACGGACCCUCUUCACAGACCUCUUUGAAAGGAAGGGCUACACCUUUGACUACGCCUACGAUUGGGUUGGGAGGCCUAUUCCUACUCCAGUAGGGUCAGUUCAUGUAGAUUCUGGUGCAUCUGCAAUAACUCGGGAAAGCCACACGCACAGGGAUCGCCCAUCACAACAACAACCUCUACGAAACCAGAGCCUUAGGACUGUUACAGCUGAACAUCAUGAUGUUAACACCUCCUCAGCCAUCUGGCACAGGGGAAGAGGCAUCUAAACAGAUUCUUCAGAACAAAAAUCACAUAUGAGCAAGAUCAGAAUAGUGUGAGAUCUAAAAAACAGACUGCAUCGUCAGAGCGCCGAGGAGAGUGGGAAAUCCAGCCCAGCCGGCAGACCAAUACCUCGUACCUGACGUCUCACUUGGCUGCAGACCGCCAUGGGGGAUCAGUGCAGGUGGUUAGCUCAACCAAUGGAGAGCUGAAUGUCGAUGACCCCACAGGAGCCCACUCCAAUGCACCAAUCACAGCUCAUGCUGAGGUGGAGGUAGUGGAGGAAGCUAAGUGCUGCUGUUUCUUUAAGAGGAAAAGGAAGAAGACUGCUCAGCGCCACAAGUGACCAGUGCCUCCCAGGAGUCCUCAUGCCCUGGGGACUCUGACUUGAUUGCACCUGCAGUUUCUGCCAUUUCUCAUUGGAAGGGACUCCUCUGUGGGGGAGGGUGGAGAUCCAAACCAAAAAGAAGAAAACAGAUGCCCGCAGAAGGAGCCAGUGUGGGUAGCCAGGGCCCAGUGGGUCAGUGGCUGUCCCCACCUGCCUAAGGCUCUGAGCAGGUCCCAGAGCUGCUGCUCCCUCACUGCUUGCCCUUGGGGCUGCCUGGUUAACUCUCCUUCCUAUUGUUUACAGUGAAGGUGUCAUUCACAAAAACUCAAGGACUACUAUUCUCUUCCCUCCCCUUAGUUUACUCCUGGUUCUUGCCCUACCCUCAAUCCUUUCCAGCAUAAAAGCUAGUGAGUUGAAGGCUUUUUCUGCUGAAGGAGCUCAAGAGGCCGGGGGUGUGGUCAAGAAGGUGGGAGGAAGAUGGCAAGCCUGGACAGGAGAAGAACCUUCUCCACCUACUAGGUGUGUCUGGCAGUAUGGCUCCCUCUUCCUCUGUGCCUGUGCAGCCUGCGUCCCCAGCUGGCCACGGGGUACAGGUUACUCCCUCCCUCCCUCCUGUGAAGUUACACUGUAGGACACAAGCUGUGAGAAAUCUGCAGUCUACUGUCCCCGUGUGUUGGCAUUCUUAGCUUUCUUGACAAGCGAACUCUUCUCUAGAUGGUAGGACAAUGCAAAUUGUUCUGAGAAAAGGAAAAAAAAACUGACUUUAAUGCACUUUUAGUUGUUUGUUUGUUUUUUUUAAACAAAAACAUGGCAGAUGCAUAUUGUGUCUGGUUAUAUUGGGAGUUUUACUUUUUUUCUGUUUUGAUGGGGAUGGGGCCAGCCAAGCCAUUCAGAGAGAAUAUUCUGAGUCCAGAGGACAUUCUCAAUGGAAAGAGUUGGGUCUGCAGCACCCGGAAGAGAAGAAGCCAAACUCUGUGUCAUUCUGAGUGAACACUCAGGUUGACAAGGAAACAUACUUGAAUUUUCAUUCAUCUUCUCAGCUGCUGAAGAAUGUCCCUACCAGAGCCUCUUGACUUCAUCAGCCUGCAGUUUGGACAACUCAGCUCUCCAGUACGUGGGAUGAGCCAGCCAAGCCAGACUGUGAAUAGGAGUCAGUUCAUCCAGAGAAGGAGAUGCUUAAAAAAAAAAAUCUGAAAUAUCUGUUUCUUCCACUGCCAGGGACUUCCAACUAGGUAGCCAUGUGACUUCCUUAGUGACUUGGGGACAAAAUUAUUGAUGAAAUAGCCACCACCAUAUUGCCACUAGUGGAACAAAAGAGGAAGAAAGUGAACCUGCCUUCCAACUGCCAGAGGAACUUUAGGAUUUGGCAUCAUAGGGCCCGGAAAUAAAAUUGGUGUGUACUCUCUGCCCCAGCUGCUGAGUUACAGCAUUUGGGCUGGCCUGCCUUAUCAGAAACCAAGCACCUGCAGAUCACCGAGCAGGUCUGUAGCAGCAGGCUUGAGACUCUCCAUACAUGGGGCUGUAGUGAACAGGAGGAAAAGAUUGGUUGGUGCUGGAAAAUUCCAGGAGAAAGGAGACUGAAAUGAAAGUCUGAAAUUACCUUCUCAAUUGGACAUAGACUCCUUCCAAAUAAGAUGGCCAUGCCUCUAGAGCAUGUUCUUCCCAGUACGUUCUCUGCGUCCCCCCAUGGUGUAGUCACACAGCGUACUACUGUGAAGGGUCUUGGUUCCUCAUUCACUGCUUGAAAAGUCAUUAAGGUAUGGAGUUAAUCUUCUCGUGCUCAAUUUUCAUUUGAGUUCAGUAGCUUAUCCAAACAGUGACCUUUCAUUCCAGAUGUGAUAGAGGAAAAAGGUUUUGUAUCUGGGAGUAGAGAAAGCUAACCAUGGAGGACAAUGGCUGGUGGCUUAGUCUGGUGGGUUUUGGAACACAAAAAUCAUUUCCUCUUGCUUGAGAUGUAGGGCUGUCUUUUUGACUGGAGGAUGUGGGGAUACUUUCUGGUAGUUGGCAUUUCCUGACAAGUCCCUUGAUGUAUCUUACAUGGAGCAGAAAUAGCAUCAGUAGCAUGGAUCAGAGUUACUGGGCUUCACCUGUUCCAUUGGGCCUUGGCUAGGAAAUAGUACUUCCCUGGCUUCAAACCUGCUUAGCUUAUGUCAAGAUUGUAAUCUUUCAUUUCUUUAAAGGAAACUUUCCUGUAUACAAAACAGAAUGGCUGGGAGAUGGUGUCAUAUCCCUUGUCCACAAGGAUUUUGAAUAUUGGGAUUUGCUUCCUUGACAUUUCCUAGGGGUUAAGGCACCAUCACUGCAACUUACAUAGUUUCUCAGUUGGCAUUUGGGCAACUCUAACUUCCUAUAUAAAAAAUUAACUUCCUCACCCCUAUAAUAUAGAAAAAGCUUUGCCUCUCAAUGGAGGGCAAAGGGAAAUGGUGCCAAGGCCUGGAGCAUCCUGGCACUCCGUACCCCAUUAAGUGCCUCCCCACUCCUGCUUCCCCAAAAAAGCAAAGGCAGUGACCAGCUUGGCUGCAGGGCAAGCCCCCUUUGCAGCUGUGUUUGUGAC
This is a non-coding RNA of Ceratotherium simum simum (southern white rhinoceros), 4412 nucleotides long. NCBI's taxonomy places the organism in Eukaryota, Metazoa, Chordata, Mammalia, Perissodactyla, Rhinocerotidae. The record is from RefSeq and is a predicted model, not a curated record.